AUUGAACGCUGGCGGAAUGCUUUACACAUGCAAGUCGAACGGCAGCACGGACUUCGGUCUGGUGGCGAGUGGCGUACGGGUGAGUAAUGUAUCGGAACGUGCCCAGUCGUGGGGGAUAACGUAGUGAAAAUUACGCUAAUACCGCAUACGAUCUAUGGAUGAAAGCGGGGGAUCGCAAGACCUCGCGCGAUUGGAGCGGCCGAUAUCAGAUUAGGUAGUUGGUGGGGUAAAGGCCCACCAAGCCAACGAUCUGUAGCUGGUCUGAGAGGACGACCAGCCACACUGGAACUGAGACACGGUCCAGACUCCUACGGGAGGCAGCAGUGGGGAAUUUUGGACAAUGGGCGAAAGCCUGAUCCAGCCAUUCCGCGUGCAGGAUGAAGGCCCUCGGGUUGUAAACUGCUUUUAUACAGAACGAAAAGGUUUCUACUAAUACUAGGAGCUCAUGACGGUACUGUAAGAAUAAGCACCGGCUAACUACGUUACAGCCGCCGCCGUAA
RNAcentral lists this ribosomal RNA (500 nucleotides) under uncultured bacterium. Its description in RNAcentral is "partial 16S ribosomal RNA". It matches the Rfam family "Bacterial small subunit ribosomal RNA", at positions 30 to 523 of the family's 1533-position model. The record is from RNAcentral.